UGAGUACGAGACGCUAAGGCGUUGAAGCAGUCUAUGUCAGACUUCCAAGAAAAGCUCGCAAUGUCAUAAGCAAAAAAUGCCUGUACCAUAACCGACACAGGUGGGUAGGUAGAGUAUACUAAGGGGCGCGAGAUAACUCUCUCUAAGGAACUCGGCAAAAUGACUCCGUAACUUCGGGAGAAGGAGUGCCUUAUUUUUAUAAGGUUGCAAUAACAAGAUCCAAGCAACUGUUUACCAAAAACACAGGUCUCCGCUAAGUCGUAAGACGAUGUAUGGGGGCUGACGCCUGCCCAGUGCCAGAAGGUUAAAGAAGUUGGUUAGUUUCGGCGAAGCUGAUGACUGAAGCCCUGGUGAACGGCGGCCGUAACGAUAACGGUCCUAAGGUAGCGAAAUUCCUUGUCGGGUAAGUUCCGACCCGCACGAAAGGCGUAAUGAUUUGGAUACUGUCUCGGAGAGGGGCUCGGUGAAAUAGACUUGUCUGUGAAGAUGCGGACUACCUGCACCUGGACAGAAAGACCCUAUGAAGCUUUACCGUAACUUGAGAUUGAAAUUGGACUUUAUUUGCGCAGUAUAGGUGGGAGACGUUGAGAAUAUUCUUGCGGGAAUAUUGGAGUCAUCAGUGAGAUACCACUCUUGUAAUGUUAGAUUUCUAACUUUGUAUCAUUAUCUGGUCAAAGGACAGUUUCAGGCGGGCAGUUUGACUGGGGCGGUCGCCUCCCAAACGGUAACGGAGGCGCACAAAGGUUUCCUCUGAACGUGUAGAAAUCGUAUCUAGAGUGUAAAGGCAUAAGGAAGCUUGACUGUGAGACCUACAGGUCGAGCAGGGACGAAAGUCGGUCUUAGUGAUCUGACGGUGCUGAGUGGAAAGGCCGUCACUCAACGGAUAAAAGUUACUCUAGGAUAACAGGCUGAUCUCCCCCAAGAGUUCACAUCGACGGGGAGGUUUGGCACCUCGAUGUCGGCUCAUCGCAUCCUGGGGCGGUAGUACGUCCCAAGGGUUGGGCUGUUCGCCCAUGAAAGCGGUACGCGAGCUGGAUUCAGAACGUCGUGAGACAGUUCGGUCCAUAUCCGGUGUAGGCGUUAGAAUAUUGAGAGGAGCCUUCUUUAGUACGAGAGGACCGAGAAGGACAUACCUCUGGUGUACCAGUUAUCGUGCCAACGGUAAACGCUGGGUAGCUAUGUAUGGAGUGGAUAACCGCUGAAAGCAUCUAAGUGGGAAGCCCACCUCAAGAUAAG
RNAcentral lists this ribosomal RNA (1236 nucleotides) under metagenome. RNAcentral's name for it is "bacterial LSU rRNA". It matches the Rfam family "Bacterial large subunit ribosomal RNA", at positions 1564 to 2808 of the family's 2925-position model. The record is from RNAcentral.